UACUAGCUGUUGACACCUACGCCUGGGUGCUCGAGGAGGCCAAGCACCACGACGAUGACGACUUUGUUGUUGGAUGGGGACUGCACGGCUUGGCUGGCUGCUACUGCUGUUGCUUGCUCAAAGCCAACCAACGAUACUGUUGUUUUCGCAUUUCUUUUGUUCUUGCUAUUUUGGGCGUCACAGCGACAUCGGCGUCAGCGAGGACUCCAUGGGAGACAGUGCCCGCUGGGACGAGCUCCGCGCUGCUGGGCCUGGACGCCGCACCCGUGCCGCCGCAGUUAUUCGUGGAUGGCCGAUAUUCGGCCGACGAAGUGGUCAUGCGGCACGAGCAGGCGCCACCGCUGCCGUAGAGAGCACACAGAGAGAAGGGAACGAGGGAAAGAAAAUCGGUGUAUUCUGGUGUGGGACAGUGAGGGCAAUUUCAUCCACCAUUAUAUCUAAAGGAGACGGG
This 451-nucleotide long non-coding RNA is filed under the name Oryza sativa Indica Group (long-grained rice). RNAcentral's name for it is "lncRNA OsMH63_08G011010". The record is from RNAcentral. Lineage: Eukaryota; Viridiplantae; Streptophyta; Magnoliopsida; Poales; Poaceae.